CCCUUAGAUGUUCUGGGCUGCACGCGCGCUACACUGAUGCGCUCAACGAGUUUACGACCUUGCCCGGAAGGGUUGGGUAAUCUUUUUAAAACGCAUCGUGAUGGGGAUAGAUUAUUGCAAUUAUUAGUCUUGAACGAGGAAUUCCUAGUAAGCACAAGUCAUCAGCUUGUGUUGAUUACGUCCCUGCCCUUUGUACACACCGCCCGUCGCUCCUACCGAUUGAAUGUUCCGGUGAGCUCUUCGGACUGCGCGGUCUGCAGUUUCUGCGUUCCGUGCGGAAAGUUGUGCAAACCUUAACAUUUAGAGGAAGGAGAAGUCGUAACA
Molecule: ribosomal RNA, 324 nt
Filed under: uncultured eukaryote
Lineage: Eukaryota
Description: partial 18S ribosomal RNA
Rfam family: Eukaryotic small subunit ribosomal RNA
Source: RNAcentral